UACGUAGGGGGGCUAGCGUUGUCCGGAAUCAUUGGGCGUAAAGAGCGUGUAGGCGGCCCCGGUAAGUCCGCUGUGAAAGUCGGGGGGCUCAACCCUCGAAUGCCGGUGGAUACUGUCGGGCUAGAGUGCGGAAGAGGCGAGUGGAAUUCCUGGUGUAGCGGUGAAAUGCGCAGAUAUCAGGAGGAACACCAAUUGCGAAGGCAGCUCGCUGGGGACGUAACUGACGCUGAGACGCGAAAAGCGUGGGGGAGCAAACAGG
This 259-nucleotide ribosomal RNA is filed under the name uncultured bacterium. Its description in RNAcentral is "partial 16S ribosomal RNA". It matches the Rfam family "Bacterial small subunit ribosomal RNA", at positions 524 to 776 of the family's 1533-position model. The record is from RNAcentral.